UCGGGAAUAUUGCGCAAUGGAGGAAACUCUGACGCAGUGACGCCGCGUAUAGGAAGAAGGUUUUCGGAUUGUAAACUAUUGUCGUUAGGGAAGAGAAAGGACAGUACCUAAGGAGGAAGCUCCGGCUAACUACGUGCCAGCAGCCGCGGUAAUACGUAGGGAGCGAGCGUUAUCCGGAUUUAUUGGGUGUAAAGGGUGCGUAGACGGGAAUGCAAGUUAGUUGUGAAAUCCCUCGGCUUAACUGAGGAACUGCAACUAAAACUACAUUUCUUGAGUGCAGGAGAGGUAAGUGGAAUUCCUAGUGUAGCGGUGAAAUGCGUAGAUAUUAGGAGGAACACCAGUGGCGAAGGCGACUUACUGGACUGUAACUGACGUUGAGGCACGAAAGUGUGGGGAGCAAACAGGAUUAGAUACC
RNAcentral lists this ribosomal RNA (415 nucleotides) under uncultured bacterium. RNAcentral describes it as "bacterial SSU rRNA". It matches the Rfam family "Bacterial small subunit ribosomal RNA", at positions 355 to 786 of the family's 1533-position model. The record is from RNAcentral.